Homo sapiens (human) is the source of this 432-nucleotide long non-coding RNA. RefSeq lists it as uncharacterized. NCBI's taxonomy places the organism in Eukaryota, Metazoa, Chordata, Mammalia, Primates, Hominidae. The transcript has 4 exons. The record is from RefSeq and is a predicted model, not a curated record.
UGACGAUCAGAGGGUUGUUAGUCUGUGUCUCUAAAAUAAUAGCUGCUUGUAGCAGGUGCCAAGGAAAGGCAGUCUCCCAACAGAUAGAAACAACAGAAGCUGGUGAUUGACAGUUCCUGAUAAGAUCUCAGGAAUUGGGCAAGUGAGUUCAAGCAUGCGCAUUUAGAGGCAAAAUGGCGGAGUUUAACUGAUACGUGACCUUCUUCUGGGAACACUUGACCGAUGCCAAGAACAUGGACACCUUCUACCAGUGACAUAUUUUGGUGAGCCAGCCAGGAGGAAGAGAGACCAUCAAGCUUCAGAUGAUCAUGCAACAAAGGUUCCAGCCAGUUGCAGGUGAAGACACCACCUCCAGCAGUAAAGAAGCUACCCCACCUCCACUAGACAGAGCAGAGCUGGAGUGCAAUGGCAUGAUCUCCGCUCACCACAACC